CAAAACAGCCAAAGCAAUCCUAGAUGAUAGAUGAUACUGGCAUAAGAUCAGACAGAUGCACCAAUGGGGUAGAAAAGAGGUCAAACAAGAAAGCUGUGCCCACUUAUUUAUUUACAAGGAAUAAAAAACAUACACUAGAUAAAAGCCUAUUCAACAAAUGGUUCUGGCAAAAUUUGAUACCUACUUGCAGAAGAAUGAAAUUAGAUUCGUAUUUUUCACCUCAUACAAAAAUCAAUUUAAAUUGGAUUAAAUAUCUUAAUGUAAAGCCGGAAACACUGAAACUUCUAGAAGAAAACACAGAUAGAGGGGAAUAUAGAACCCUUUUAAUGGAGGACCAACAGCACGGGAACUAGCAUCGGCAGAUGGGUUUACAUGAAAAUCAAGUUUCUGCUCAGCGAAGGAAAUGGUCAGCACAGCACAGACAGCCCACAGCACGGGAUAUCAUCUGCACCAGCUACGCCUCAGACAGACUACAAAGAACUGCAGAAAUUAAAUACCAAGGAAAUAAAACUGACAAUAAAUAGGUAAGUGAAUUGAAUAGACAACUUUUCAAAAAAAGAAA
RNAcentral lists this long non-coding RNA (562 nucleotides) under Rattus norvegicus (Norway rat). Its description in RNAcentral is "long non-coding RNA NONRATT025089". The record is from RNAcentral. Lineage: Eukaryota; Metazoa; Chordata; Mammalia; Rodentia; Muridae.